Long non-coding RNA from Anguilla rostrata (American eel), 981 nucleotides. RefSeq lists it as uncharacterized. NCBI's taxonomy places the organism in Eukaryota, Metazoa, Chordata, Actinopteri, Anguilliformes, Anguillidae. The transcript has 3 exons. The record is from RefSeq and is a predicted model, not a curated record.
GGAACCUAGCUGGAACUUCCACUAGGGGGAGGGUUUCAGUUCUACUCCCUUGAUCUUCACACAGCAGUGAUUCUUUUGGUCCAUUGGGCACCUGUGGUUUAUUUGCACAAACUACAGUACGAAUGGCCUGCAGACCUCCAGCACAAUGACAGGCAGUGUUGCAAUAGGCUACUACAAUCCAGGAACUGGACUUGAAUCCCACACAAGUCACCAUUUUCAUGGCUCACAUUUGGACUUGAACUUGCUAAGUGCCUUAGAUAUGGCGUAUCAGCCAGACUCAAUUAGGUUUCUAAUAUAGCUAAUUGUAUAAAUGGAUACGUUAUAUCAAAAAGCGGUUAAAACUAAACUACUACAGCGCAAUGAAUCGUAUUGACUGAUGCGUAGUAAAUAUAUUUAGCCUAUUUAAAUAUAUAGGCCUACCAUUUACUACGCAUCAGCGUCUAGAGACGUUCCAAGUUACAGAUUUAAUUGGAGGUGUUCCGGGUUUUACUCGGUGUAGAUAUCCAGCUCACUCAGUAAUCAUGCUUAGUGAAACAGGGCCCUGGUUCCAGAGUAAUAGACCACAAUUUAUGUUUGCGAAUUAUUAAGUUAUACAGUCAAUGAUGGAGCCAAAACGUCGGCACUGUGUAUCAUCUUGAAACAUAAAAUUGAGGAGAAACUUGGGACGACGUCAAAUCCUGAGACAUUCCCAUGGUUCCAUGUGGGAAACAGGGCUGUGGUUGAAUGGCUGUCUUUGCUGGGCUGAUGGAUACUCUAUGGUAAGACUUAUGUGCAGAGAUGUCAUGGACCCCCCUAAGCUUAACGAGAAGAACUUGUUGAAACAAGUAUGAAAAUGGCUUGAACCCGGCACGAGCCAACAUUUCCGGACAGAUGGAGGGCUGAUGCAUGGAUUCAAUGACGCGUGAAAGUUGAACGUCGCCUGGGAGUCAGAUUCUGUAGUCUUGUUGACCAAGCAUUCGAAGCUGUGUAUAAAAAAUAUAA